UAGGGAAUCUUCCACAAUGGACGAAAGUCUGAUGGAGCAACGCCGCGUGAGUGAAGAAGGGUUUCGGCUCGUAAAGCUCUGUUGGUAGUGAAGAAAGAUAGAGGUAGUAACUGGCCUUUAUUUGACGGUAAUUACUUAGAAAGUCACGGCUAACUACGUGCCAGCAGCCGCGGGAAUACGUAGGUGGCAAGCGUUGUCCGGAUUUAUUGGGCGUAAAGCGAGUGCAGGCGGUUCAAUAAGUCUGAUGUGAAAGCCUUCGGCUCAACCGGAGAAUUGCAUCAGAAACUGUUGAACUUGAGUGCAGAAGAGGAGAGUGGAACUCCAUGUGUAGCGGUGGAAUGCGUAGAUAUAUGGAAGAACACCAGUGGCGAAGGCGGCUCUCUGGUCUGCAACUGACGCUGAGGCUCGAAAGCAUGGGUAGCGAACAGG
RNAcentral lists this ribosomal RNA (429 nucleotides) under Acidobacteriota bacterium. RNAcentral describes it as "Acidobacteria bacterium partial 16S ribosomal RNA". It matches the Rfam family "Bacterial small subunit ribosomal RNA", at positions 355 to 776 of the family's 1533-position model. The record is from RNAcentral. Lineage: Bacteria; Pseudomonadati; Acidobacteriota.